RNAcentral lists this transfer RNA (76 nucleotides) under Verrucomicrobiales bacterium. RNAcentral's name for it is "tRNA-Trp". It matches the Rfam family "tRNA". Rfam says of the family: Transfer RNA (tRNA) molecules are approximately 80 nucleotides in length. Their secondary structure includes four short double-helical elements and three loops (D, anti-codon, and T loops). Lineage: Bacteria; Pseudomonadati; Verrucomicrobiota; Verrucomicrobiia; Verrucomicrobiales. The record is from RNAcentral. RNAcentral also lists the same sequence under 1 other name.
AGGGAAGUAGCUCAAUUGGUAGAGCAUCGGUUUCCAAAACCGAGGGUCGCAGGUUCGAUUCCUGUCUUCCCUGCCA